CUCAGAAUUUACACAACAUAAACUUCUACACUUCAGAGCACAACCACAUGAAGAAAUGUUUCUCCUCCAUGUCACAGGUGCAGUGUGAAUCACCCUGCUGGCAGAGGUCCCCGAGUCCCUAUCGCUUCUCUUUAAGAAAUAUUUUUGGACACCACUACAGCUUCAAAUACCCCAACAAUUGGAAAAAUAGGAAGGAGCUAGAGAGAUCCACUCAAGACUGAAUGAGAAAACCUGGCCUUCACUCCUGAUGGAAUACGUAACCUCUUGACUUGUGUUAUCAUGGCAUACAGCAAAGUAUGUGAUGUGCAGGGGGGAGCACUCGACAGGGAGGCUCUACACUGCCCUGAGGCUUUGGAUCUUGACUGGAGUCUUGACAAGGAUGGGGUGCAAGAACCAGGGCCAAGCAUGGACCACAUGCAGAUGCAACAUGUAGAAUGUCCAAGAUCAGUUUCAGACCGCGGCCCUGAUCCUGAGGUGAUGGAGUCUGUCCAGCCAUCAAUUUCCCCACAUGGACGCUUCGAAAGACUCCAGGAAGAUCCCAACUACAAUUCCCGCUUCACUAGGGCUCCGGGCCACAAAGAACAAAGACAGCUACAGUGUUUCACUCUCAGAUACCUGCUGGCAGGUUUGGUGCUUUUAGUCCUGGGCUUCCUUGUCGGCUGGUUCACCCACACCUCUUCCGUCAAACCUCGUCUCCCUGCCCCUGAAAGCUCCGACUUGCUCAAAGAACUGCUGGAAGGAAUCAAAGCUGACAAGAUAAAUUCACUUCAGAGGCGCCACAUUGACUAAGAUUCAAGCUAAACAUCCGCUCUGGCACCUGAAUAAAGAUUUUCCAUCAAGGAUCCGGAGCACGGGCGCCACAAAGGGAUGAGAGAAAUAAAACGUG
This 886-nucleotide long non-coding RNA is filed under the name Oryzias javanicus (javanese ricefish). Its description in RNAcentral is "lncRNA (ENSOJAG00000002804.1)". The record is from RNAcentral. Lineage: Eukaryota; Metazoa; Chordata; Actinopteri; Beloniformes; Adrianichthyidae.